GAACGGCAGCAUGAGGUGUAGCAAUACACCUUGAUGGCGAGUGGCGGACGGGUGAGGAAUGCAUCGGAAUCUGCCCAGUCGUGGGGGACAACGCAGGGAAACUUGCGCUAAUACCGCAUACGACCUUCGGGUGAAAGCAGGGGAUCUUCGGACCUUGCGCGAUUGGAUGAGCCGAUGCCGGAUUAGCUAGUUGGCGGGGUAAUGGCCCACCAAGGCGACGAUCCGUAGCUGGUAUGAGAGGAUGAUCAGCCACACUGGGACUGAGACACGGCCCAGACUCCUACGGGAGGCAGCAGUGGGGAAUAUUGGACAAUGGGGGCAACCCUGAUCCAGCAAUGCCGCGUGUGUGAAGAAGGCCUUCGGGUUGUAAAGCACUUUUAUCGGGAACGAAACAUUGUCGGUUAAUACCCGGCAAGACUGACGGUACCCGAGGAAUAAGCACCGGCUAACUCCGUGCCAGCAGCCGCGGUAAU
This 473-nucleotide ribosomal RNA is filed under the name uncultured bacterium. Its description in RNAcentral is "bacterial SSU rRNA". It matches the Rfam family "Bacterial small subunit ribosomal RNA", at positions 64 to 524 of the family's 1533-position model. The record is from RNAcentral.